CCCCUAGAUGUUCUGGGCCGCACGCGCGCUACACUGAACAGUUCAACAAGUCUUAACCUUGGCCGAUAGGUCUGGGUAAUCUUUGAACGCUGUUCGUGAUUGGGAUAGACCUUUGCAAUUAUGGGUCUUCAACGAGGAAUUCCUAGUAAACGCAAGUCAUCAGCUUGCAUUGAUUACGUCCCUGCCCUUUGUACACACCGCCCGUCGCACCUACCGAUUGAAUGGUCCGGUGAAAUCUCGGGACGGCGGCUUGGUCGCUUGCGUCCGACUGCUGAAACUUGAUUAAACCAUAUCAAUUAGAGGAAGGUGAAGUCGUAACA
Molecule: ribosomal RNA, 320 nt
Filed under: uncultured eukaryote
Lineage: Eukaryota
Description: partial 18S ribosomal RNA
Rfam family: Eukaryotic small subunit ribosomal RNA
Source: RNAcentral